RNAcentral lists this ribosomal RNA (253 nucleotides) under uncultured bacterium. RNAcentral's name for it is "partial 16S ribosomal RNA". It matches the Rfam family "Bacterial small subunit ribosomal RNA", at positions 524 to 776 of the family's 1533-position model. The record is from RNAcentral.
UACGAAGGGAGCUAGCGUUGUUCGGAAUUACUGGGCGUAAAGGGCGCGUAGGCGGCUUGGCAAGUUGGAUGUGAAAGCCCAGGGCUCAACCCUGGAAUUGCAUUCAAGACUGCCUUGCUUGAAUUCGGUAGAGGUUGGUGGAAUUCCCAGUGUAGAGGUGAAAUUCGUAGAUAUUGGGAAGAACACCCGUGGCGAAGGCGGCUCACUGGACCGACAUUGACACUGAGGCGCGAAAGCGUGGGGAUCAAACAGG